Cinara cedri is the source of this 206-nucleotide non-coding RNA. NCBI's taxonomy places the organism in Eukaryota, Metazoa, Arthropoda, Insecta, Hemiptera, Aphididae. The record is from the annotation of a GenBank genome assembly.
AGGAAAAUCCACUGGAAUAUUCAGCGAUUUUGUAUUUUACUUUUGUAACGAGUUAUUUCCGAAACUUCUGGAUUAAUUUACAUGCGAUGUUUUGCAUAACGGUUCGAGUUGUCCAGAGAAAGUUUAAAACUUUUGAAAUCCUCGAUCUGACCAUUAGAAGCAGUAGACUGUUAGGUUACUGCAGGUUACUGCAGUAGUUUGGGCUG